RNAcentral lists this ribosomal RNA (439 nucleotides) under uncultured bacterium. RNAcentral describes it as "partial 16S ribosomal RNA". It matches the Rfam family "Bacterial small subunit ribosomal RNA", at positions 29 to 507 of the family's 1533-position model. The record is from RNAcentral.
AGCGAACGCUGGCGGCAGGCCUAACACAUGCAAGUCGAACGAACUCUUCGGAGUUAGUGGCGGACGGGUGAGUAACACGUGGGAACGUGCCUUUAGGUUCGGAAUAACUCAGGGAAACUUGUGCUAAUACCGAAUGUGCCCUUCGGGGGGAAGAUUUAUCGCCUUUAGAGCGGCCCGCGUCUUAUUAGCUAGGUGGUGGGGUAAUGGCUCACCAAGGCGACGACCAGUAGCUGGUCUGAGAGGAUGAUCAGCCACAUGGGGACUGAGACGCGGCCCAGACUGCGACGGGAGGCAGCAGUGGGGAAUAUUGCACAAUGGGAGAAAGCCUGAUGCAGCGACGCCACGGGGGUGAGGACGGCCUGCGGGUUGUAAACUCCGUUCGCUAGGGACGAAGCUUUUUGUGACGGUACCUAGAGAAGAAGCACCGGCUAACUACGUG